This is a non-coding RNA of Massariosphaeria phaeospora, 130 nucleotides long. NCBI's taxonomy places the organism in Eukaryota, Fungi, Ascomycota, Dothideomycetes, Pleosporales. The record is from the annotation of a GenBank genome assembly.
GCAUCGGUGGUUUAGUGGUAAAAGUCCGUUCCUCCAUUCUGAUUCGUUGAACCAUAACUAACAAUGUUCUAGUUAGCCGUUGCCAGAGCGCAACAUCGGCUAGCCCCGGGUUCGAUUCCCGGCCGAUGCA